CAUGUACUUUUAUUUACAGGCUUGUGUGGAAUUGUCAGUUUCACUGACAUUAUGAAAAUAAUGACUAUAAAAACGAUUUGCACAUUCUGACAACAGGGCAUGGAUGCUGUAUACAGUGAGAUGUUCAUUUAAUGGCAGGUGAAUUCUACAUGUGGAACUGUGAAAUGUAAUGUAAUCUCAUGUAUUCCCAGUUACAAGUAAAUGAGUUGUACAAACUGCAUCUCAUGAAAAGUGUCGAAAACUGACCAAGAGAUGUGUAGGCCUAUUUAGGGUAGAAGAAUAAAGGCUAAUCUUGAAAAAUAUUUUCUGGAACACCAGUUACAGGAGGAUGCAUGGUCACAGGUGAUGUUAAUAGUAGGAACAAUAACCUAUAUGAAUAUUAAUUGUUGAAUUUUCCGAAUUUCUAUUUUGACCAAGAGAUGGUGUACUUAGGGCAGAAGAAAGGCUGAUCUUGUAAGGCUAUCAACCUGCCCCCACCUCUCAUAUGGUAAAAUAUGGAGAUACUGGAUGGAGUCUCAACUUGAUGGCUCUCACACAUCAUUGUGUAACUUACUGUAGCAUUGCUAGUCGUGUUGAUAAGUAAGGGUCAAGAUUGUGGUGUGAUUGUAGUUGUUCUUGGGUAUAAAAGGAAUUGUGAAGCAUUG
Osmerus eperlanus (European smelt) is the source of this 644-nucleotide long non-coding RNA. RefSeq lists it as uncharacterized. The record is from RefSeq and is a predicted model, not a curated record. NCBI's taxonomy places the organism in Eukaryota, Metazoa, Chordata, Actinopteri, Osmeriformes, Osmeridae. The transcript has 2 exons.